This is a long non-coding RNA of Lolium rigidum, 527 nucleotides long. RefSeq lists it as uncharacterized. NCBI's taxonomy places the organism in Eukaryota, Viridiplantae, Streptophyta, Magnoliopsida, Poales, Poaceae. The transcript has 3 exons. The record is from RefSeq and is a predicted model, not a curated record.
UAACAACACGAGUAAUCGUACUGCUUAAAAUAUGCAUGAUGUGCUAGAAAAAAUUCUAUCCGAAAAUCAUAAGUACCUGUUUGGACUUCUUGAAUUCUCUGAUUUUUUUUUGAUGAAUCCUACAUUUUGUUCAGAAUUAUGGGCAUCUUCUAUUUUGUUCUUAUCUGAGCAAUUCAUUGUAUUACUUACUGAUGUGGCAAGUGCUAAUCCUAUAAUUAAAUGACCAUCAGCUUAGUGUGGAGUGACAUGCACCUUGGUGAUGUUAUACUGCUUGUAGACACCAAAGAAGCAAAAUCUGAGCUGUAGUGGAACUUAUAAAUAUGACCAGUCAUGAUGCCGGUAUGGGAAACUAAACAGUUCAUUGUUGAAUUGAAGUAUCAAUCCUCAUCCGCUUUGUAUAGCCAAUAAUUAAAGAUUGAGAUGUUAAAAGAACUUUCAAAGUUGCCUAAUAUCUAUGAUAGAUUAGCAAGAUUAUUGAUUAUGAACAUAUGGGAAUUGGACGGUGUUAAGAGGGGCCUGCCUUGCCA